Molecule: long non-coding RNA, 134 nt
Organism: Hippocampus comes (tiger tail seahorse)
Lineage: Eukaryota; Metazoa; Chordata; Actinopteri; Syngnathiformes; Syngnathidae
Exons: 2
Source: RefSeq, a predicted model, not a curated record
AUUUAUGUGUUUAACCGAAUGGGUGGUCUGUUUACAUCUUUCUUUAGAUGCUGUCUGUUAAGUUAAGAAAAAGCAUCGUAACUGCCCAGAAGCUGUUGCACUUGGCACGACCCACACCAAAAUGUUGGCCAUUG